Molecule: ribosomal RNA, 848 nt
Filed under: Odontotrema diplodon
Lineage: Eukaryota; Metazoa; Mollusca; Gastropoda; Stylommatophora; Hygromiidae
Description: partial 16S ribosomal RNA
Source: RNAcentral
AACAAUUAAAAAUAGAUAAAUUUAUAUAUCCCGAAAUAGUACGAGUUAAAAAAAUUAUAAUAUUAGUUGUUACACUGACUGUAUCAUUAGUCAGAAAUUAUUAUUUUUUUUAGGGAUGAAAUAUCUUUCAAGUAUUAUGAUAUCUGGAUUUUUGGUAAAUAUAUAUAGUAUUUAAUCAAUUCAGUAAUAAUAAGGUUACUGAAUGGCAUUAUUAUAAUUAUAUAUAAUAUAAUUUGUGUAACUUCAAUUAUAUAUUUUAAAAUAGAACUAAUUCUUUGGUUAAUAUGCAAAUUACUUUAAUAUAUAUUAAAAUGUUAAAUAUAUCAUUAAUGUUGUUAUUAGUAUUAUAAUAAUUAGGUAAGAGGAACUCGGCAAUUUUUUUCUCAACUGUUUAUCAAAAACAUUGCCCUAAGUAUAUGUUUAGGGUAAAUCCUGCUCAAUGGUUUACUAAAUAGCCGCAGUACUUUGACUGUGCAAAGGUAGCAUAAUCAAUUGGCUUAUAAUUGAAGUCUAGUAUGAAUGGGUUUAUGGGGAAAAGCUAUCUUAAAUUUAUUAACAUAAUUUACUUAUUAAGUGAAAAUUCUUAAAGAUAUAAAAAAGACGAGAAGACCCUAGAAAUUUUUAACAAAUUUAAAUAGAAAUUUUUUGUUGGGGCGACAGCGUUACAAUAAAACUAGCGUUGAAAUACUAGACCUAAUUGUAUUGGUAGAAUAAAUUACUCUAGGGAUAACAGCAUAAUUUAAUAGAGUUUGUGACCUCGAUGUUGGACUAGGAAAUUGUUUUUUCAGAAGAAAAUCAUAUUUGCUCUGUUCGAGCAAUUUUACCUACAUGAUCUGAGUUCAGACCGG